This 537-nucleotide ribosomal RNA is filed under the name uncultured bacterium. Its description in RNAcentral is "bacterial SSU rRNA". It matches the Rfam family "Bacterial small subunit ribosomal RNA", at positions 772 to 1311 of the family's 1533-position model. The record is from RNAcentral.
ACUGAAUAGAUACCCAGGUAGUCCAUGCUGUAAACGAUGAGAACUAGAUGUUAGGGGGCAUGACCUCUUAGUAUCGAAGCUAACGCGAUAAGUUCUCCGCCUGGGGAGUACGGCCGCAAGGUUAAAACUCAAAGAAAUUGACGGGGGCCCGCACAAGCGGUGGAGCAUGUGGUUUAAUUCGAUGCAACGCGAAGAACCUUACCUACCUUUGAAUCCACGGAACCUAGCAGAGAUGUUGGGGUGCCUUCGGGAGCCGUGAGACAGGUGCUGCAUGGCUGUCGUCAGCUCGUGUCGUGAGAUGUUGGGUUAAGUCCCGUAACGAGCGCAACCCUUGUCCUUAGUUGCCAUCAGGUUAUGCUGGGCACUUUAAGGAGACUGCCGGUGAUAAACCGGAGGAAGGUGGGGAUGACGUCAAGUCCUCAUGGCCCUUACAGGUAGGGCUACACACGUGCUACAAUGGGCAGUACAGAGGGAAGCCAACCCGCAGGGGGAGCGAAUCUCAUAAAGCUGUUCGUAGUCCGGAUUGGAGUCUGCAAC